Molecule: ribosomal RNA, 429 nt
Filed under: Pseudomonadota bacterium
Lineage: Bacteria; Pseudomonadati; Pseudomonadota
Description: Proteobacteria bacterium partial 16S ribosomal RNA
Rfam family: Bacterial small subunit ribosomal RNA
Source: RNAcentral
UGGGGAAUAUUGGACAAUGGGGGGAACCCUGAUCCAGCCAUGCCGCGUGUGUGAAGAAGGCCUUAUGGUUGUAAAGCACUUUAAGUUGGGAGGAAGGGCAGUAAGCGAAUACCUUGCUGUUUUGACGUUACCGACAGAAUAAGCACCGGCUAACUCUGUGCCAGCAGCCGCGGUAAUACAGAGGGUGCGAGCGUUAAUCGGAUUUACUGGGCGUAAAGCGUGCGUAGGCGGCUAAUUGAGUCGGAUGUGAAAUCCCCGAGCUUAACUUGGGAAUUGCAUUCGAUACUGGUUAGCUAGAGUGUGGGAGAGGAUGGUAGAAUUCCAGGUGUAGCGGUGAAAUGCGUAGAGAUCUGGAGGAAUACCGAUGGCGAAGGCAGCCAUCUGGCCUAACACUGACGCUGAGGUACGAAAGCAUGGGGAGCAAACAGG